AGUGGAACUGCUACUGUCAAAAGUGAAGUGUCAGAGCUGCGCCAAUGAAACGUCAAGCUUCGUGAAUUGUGAUAAAUUUCAUUGAACAAUAAAGUUAAAAUUAAUAAUAAUUUAAAUUGUUCACGAUGCCGGCUAGUACAUCGGACAUGGAGCCGUUAAGAGAAAAGGCCUUCCAGGAUUACAGAAAGAAGCUCAUGGAGCAUAAGGAAGUCGAGUCACGACUCAAAGAAGGUCGUGACCAACUAAAAGAUUUGACCAAACAAUAUGACAAGAGUGAAAAUGACCUGAAAGCCUUACAAAGUGUUGGACAAAUAGUUGGAGAAGUCUUGAAACAGCUCACAGAAGAAAAAUUUAUUGUAAAAGCUACUAAUGGCCCUCGCUACGUUGUUGGCUGUCGUCGGCAACUUGACAAGAACAAGCUUAAAGGAGGAACACGAGUUGCCCUCGACAUGACUACUCUUACAAUAAUGAGACAUCUGCCUAGAGAGGUUGAUCCCCUAGUUUACAACAUGAGUCAUGAGGAUCCUGGUGACGUGACCUAUUCCGCCAUAGGAGGUCUUCAAGAACAGAUUAGACAGCUGAGAGAGGUGAUUGAACUUCCCCUAAUGAACCCAGAGCUGUUUGUUCGAGUCGGUAUCACUCCACCCAAAGGAUGUUUGCUGUACGGACCUCCUGGUACAGGAAAGACUUUGCUCGCGAGGGCUGUGGCUUCACAGCUCGAUGCUAACUUUUUAAAGGUGGUGUCAUCGGCGAUUGUUGACAAGUACAUCGGUGAAUCGGCCCGCCUCAUCCGGGAGAUGUUCAACUACGCGCGGGACCACCAACCCUGCAUCAUAUUCAUGGACGAGAUCGAUGCCAUCGGUGGGAGACGUUUUUCCGAAGGCACGAGCGCCGAUCGAGAGAUCCAACGUACCCUGAUGGAGUUGUUGAACCAAAUGGAUGGUUUCGACUCCUUGGGACAGGUGAAGAUCAUCAUGGCCACCAACAGACCAGACACGCUGGACCCCGCUCUGCUGAGGCCCGGAAGAUUGGACAGGAAAAUCGAAAUACCCCUGCCCAAUGAACAGGCUAGAUUGGAAAUCUUGAAGAUCCACGCGUCGCCGAUCGCCAAGCACGGCGAGAUGGACUACGAGGCGGUCGUGAAGCUUUCAGAUACUUUCAACGGCGCGGACCUGCGCAACGUCUGCACGGAGGCAGGACUCUUCGCCAUCAGGGCCGAGCGGGAGUACAUCAUACAGGAGGAUCUAAUGAAGGCCGUCCGUAAAGUAGCCGACAACAAAAAGCUGGAGAGCAAACUGGACUACAAGCCCGUCUGAUUUUAAAUUAUAAUUAUCAUGUGACUCAUUUAAGGGGCGCCAAGAAAAAAGGUUUAGAACCACUGACUAAAUAGGUAAUUCAUUCGAUUCAAACUUCGCUUAAAUAAAUGUUAUGUGAACCAAAAUAAUUAGAACACUAAAUUAAUACACUUUAAAUUUCAACAACAAUGGUAUCUCGAAUUGUACCCAUUGAUGAAAAUCAGUGCACUGUUAGAAAGACAUUAACGAAUGUUGGGUCCUUAAAAUUUUCUUGAAAUUUAUUUUUAAUAGGCUGCUGCGUAAAUUGUAUUUUUUUAUUUACACGCUUUAAGUUUUCUCACGUGUGUUGAAAAAUGUUAUUUAGUCAUUGGUUCUCAAACUUGUAAAUCACACCUUAAAUGUUUUACUGAUAAUUAUUUUAAGAAUGCAGUUUCAAUGAACAUUUGAAAUUCGAAGCACGAAAAUGCUGAUCAUUAGUGUUAAUCUUUUUUUUUUUAAACUAUACAUUAGAAAUAAAAAUCUUUCACAGUAUAUCUGUGCGCGAUUAAUGUGUAAAAGUGUGUAAUAAAAAAAAUACAAGUUU
Molecule: RNA transcript, 1878 nt
Organism: Bombyx mori (domestic silkworm)
Lineage: Eukaryota; Metazoa; Arthropoda; Insecta; Lepidoptera; Bombycidae
Gene: Rpt4
Gene name: 26S proteasome regulatory ATPase subunit 10B
Exons: 10
Source: RefSeq, marked provisional